RNA transcript from Myotis lucifugus (little brown bat), 983 nucleotides. It is a transcript of the gene named biogenesis of lysosomal organelles complex 1 subunit 2, with no coding region annotated. The transcript has 6 exons. NCBI's taxonomy places the organism in Eukaryota, Metazoa, Chordata, Mammalia, Chiroptera, Vespertilionidae. The record is from RefSeq and is a predicted model, not a curated record.
UGCGCAGGCCCGCCCCAACCGGAAGCGGCGCGGGGCCCAGCAUGGCGGCGGCGGCGGCGCCCGAAGGUGUCCCUGCGAGCCAACGAGAGGAGCCGGUUAGAGACGAUGCCGCGGUGGAGACGGCGGAGGAGGCCAAGGAGCCCGCGGAGGCUGACAUCACUGAGCUCUGCCGGGACAUGUUCUCCAAGAUGGCAACUUACCUGACUGGGGAACUGACGGCCACCAGCGAAGACUAUAAGCUCCUGGAAAAUAUGAAUAAAUUAACCAGCCUGAAGUAUCUUGAAAUGAAAGAUAUUGCUAUAAACAUUAGUAGAAACCUAAAGGACUUAAACCAGAAGUAUGCUGAACUACAGCCUUAUCUGGAUCAAAUCAAUGUAAUUGAGGAGCAAGUAGCAGCUCUUGAACAGGCAGCCUACAAAUUGGAUGCAUAUUCCAAAAAACUGGAGAAGGAAACUGGUUGAAGAGGAUAAAUAGCUUAUAAGGAUACAAAGCUAGUAUGUGGAAGAGCUGUAUUCCAAACCAGAAGCCAAGUACAAGAAGCUGGAGAAGCGAUGAAAAACUUAUGCCUGUGGAACAAAGUCUUUUUUAAUGUGGAAGAAUGAGACCUGAAUCCUGAGGCUGAUGAAUUGUCACAACUCCUCAAAAGGAAACCAUGCUGGCCGUCCCAGAAACAUCCCGCCAUUGGAGUAAACUGGAGAACUGUGGCUACUCCUGAAUUUCUCUUGGGGCAGUAUCCCUCAGAAACGCACACUUAUUACCCCCUACCUUUUACUUGAAUGUUUAAUUAUCCAUUUAGGACACUAAGUCUCUCAAAGUUCAGGAUAAACCUGGGCUUUUCAGUCGAAUCAAAUGAGAGGGCUUAUUUUCUAAGUGGCUGGAUUUUGAGUUACUGUGUAAAUGUUUUUUUUUUUUCUAUUGAGCUAAUGUAUUGCUAACAAGAAUCUAAAUUAAAAAAGGAAAAUAAAACAAACUUCUUCACAGUU